This 690-nucleotide ribosomal RNA is filed under the name uncultured bacterium. RNAcentral describes it as "bacterial SSU rRNA". It matches the Rfam family "Bacterial small subunit ribosomal RNA", at positions 125 to 816 of the family's 1533-position model. The record is from RNAcentral.
CCUGCCCGUCUCAGGGGGAUAGAUCGUCGGAAACGGCGUCUAAUACCCCGUAUGAAGCUGGACGGCAUCGUCUGGUUUUGAAAGAAUAUCGGAGACGGAUGGGCAUGCGGCGCAUUAGCUAGUUGGCGGGGUAACGGCCCACCAAGGCGACGAUGCGUAGGGGUUCUGAGAGGAAGGUCCCCCACACUGGUACUGAGACACGGACCAGACUCCUACGGGAGGCAGCAGUGAGGAAUAUUGGUCAAUGGGCGAGAGCCUGAACCAGCCAAGUCGCGUGAGGGAGUACUGCCCUAUGGGUUGUAAACCUCUUUUGUCGGGGAGCAAAAGCCGGACGUGUCCGUCUGUGAGAGUACCCGAAGAAAAAGCAUCGGCUAACUCCGUGCCAGCAGCCGCGGUAAUACGGAGGAUGCGAGCGUUAUCCGGAUUUAUUGGGUUUAAAGGGUGCGCAGGCGGAUUUUUAAGUCAGCGGUCAAAUCGUGGGGCUCAACCCCAUCCAGCCGUUGAAACUGGGGAUCUAGAGUGUGCGAGAGGUAUGCGGAAUGCGUGGUGUAGCGGUGAAAUGCAUAGAUAUCACGCAGAACCCCGAUUGCGAAGGCAGCAUACCGGUGCACAACUGACGCUCAGGCACGAAAGCGUGGGUAUCGAACAGGAUUAGAUACCCUGGUAGUCCACGCAGUAAACGAUGAAUGC